Molecule: long non-coding RNA, 1534 nt
Filed under: Homo sapiens (human)
Lineage: Eukaryota; Metazoa; Chordata; Mammalia; Primates; Hominidae
Description: HSALNT0232880
Source: RNAcentral
GGUUAUUUAAAUUCCUUUGCUUUUCCAUAUGUUUUAGAAUUAGCCAGUCUGUAUCUAUAGAAAAUCCUGCUGAGGCCAGAUAGGGUGGCUCAAAUCUGCAAUCUCAGCACUUUGGAAGGUUGAGGUGGGAGCGUCACUUGAGCCCAGGAGUUCAAGACCAGACUGUGCAAUAUGGGAACACAGGGAGACCCCAUCUUUACCAAAAAAAAAAAAAAAAAAAUUAGCCAGGCAAGGUGGCACAUGCUUGUGGUUCCAGCUAUUCAAGAGGGUAAAGUGGGAAGAGCACCUGAGCCCAGGAGGUCAAGGCUGCAGUGAGCCAUGAUUAUGCCACUGCAUUCCAGCCCGGGUGACAGAGCGAGACCUUGUCACAUUGAAAAAAAAAAAAAAAAACUGAGAAAAAGACAAAGAAAAGAAAGAAAAUCCCGCUAGGCUGGGUGCGAUGGCUCACGUCUGUAAUCCCAGCACUCUGGGAGGCCGACGCAGGCGGAUUGCCUGAGGUUGGGAGUUUGAGACCAGUCUGGCCAACAUGGUGAAACCCUAUCUCUACUAAAAACACACAAAAAUUAGCCAGGUGCGGUGGCACAUGCCUGUAAUUUCAGCUCCUCAGGAGGCUGAGGCAUGAGAAUCGCUUAAACCUAGGAGACGGAGGUUGCAGUUCAAGAGAUUCUCCUGCCUCAACCUCCCAAGUAGCUGGGACUACAGGCGCAUGCCACCAUGCCCAGCUAAUUUUUGUAUUUUUAGUAGAGAUGGGGUUUCACCGUGUUGGCCAGGAUGGUCUCGAUCUCUUGACCUCAUAAUCCGCCUGCCUCAGCCUCCCAAAGUGCUGCCUGGCCUUAAUCUCUUUCAUCAGCAUUUUACAAUUUUCCAUAUACAGUUCCUUCACAUUUUGCUAGACUUACACGUAUUUCUUUCUGUUCUGAAGCCAUUGUAAAUGGCAUUGUGUUGGUAAUUUCAUUUUGAAUUGUUCACUGCUAGUAUAUGGAAAUAUGACUGACUUUUCUUUUUUUACUUUAAAAUGCUGUUUUCAUGUGAUGUAUGACUGAUUUUUGUGUUGAUCUUGCUAAACUUACAGGAUUUUUUUUUUUGUAUACUUCAUGAGAUUUCUACAUAGUCCUGCCAUCUGCAAAAAGAAGUAAUUUUAUUAUUUCCUCUCCAUUCUGUAUGCUUUUUCCCCCUUGCCUUAUUGCACUGGUUAGGUCUUCCGGUAUGAUGUUGAAUACAAGUGGUGAGCAUUCCAAUUUUUACCAUUAAGAAUGUUAGCUGUGGGCUUUUUGUAGACACCUUUUAUCAGGUUGAGGAAGUUCCCUUCAUUCCUAGUUUGCUGAGUGUUUUUAUCAUGAACUAAUGUUGAAUUCUGUGAAUUUCAGCAUCAAUUUAUAUGAUCAUAUGGUUUUUCUCUUAAUAUGGUGGACUACACUGAUUGAUUUUCAAAUACUGAAGCAGCCUUGCAUUCCUGGACUUUGGUUUCCCCACUCUGUCACACACUAACUGCAUCUGCACCCAGGGCCAAGCAGCAGGACAGACAGUGGAAGGC